This is a long non-coding RNA of Chinchilla lanigera (long-tailed chinchilla), 1933 nucleotides long. RefSeq lists it as uncharacterized. The transcript is spliced from 2 exons. Lineage: Eukaryota; Metazoa; Chordata; Mammalia; Rodentia; Chinchillidae. The record is from RefSeq and is a predicted model, not a curated record.
ACAGGCAGGGCAGUGGGUGGGUUCUGAGCCCUUCCCAGAUGGGCAGUGGUGGUCCUGCCCUCUCAGCUGGGUGGGCAACUCCUCCAGCCUCUCAGGGCCUGAACCAAGUGGGUAUAGUGCUAGGAGCUCAGGACACCGUGGUCAGUUUCUUCCAUGCUUCCUGCUGACAAACCCAUCCCCCAGGGCCUGAGAUGUCCUAACUGUUCCACCAUGCCCUAACAGCAUCACUUCUUGGGGCCCCUGCAAGCUGCUCACACCACCAAGGUAGCCAGGGCUCUAGGCCUUCCACUGAGCACAUCCCAAGCCUUGCCUGCAGGGUUGAGCAUGUCCCCUCAGAGCCAGGGCACCACCUUGGGGUCACACAGUCUAACAUUACCUUCUAGACAAAGAAAGUUACACAUGUCUUUCAGAUCCCAAUGGUACAUCCCAGGGACCUGCUGCUGCUAAGGAGCCACCUGACCAGAGUGUCACAUCAGUGAGUCCACAUGCCACAGUGACCCUCCCAAGUCCAAUGCUGUCACAGAAGAAGGGGACAUAGAGACAAAAGUACAAAUGGAAAGGCUGGCUGGAGCAAGGCAGGAUGGACACCAGCUGAGGAAAACAUCCUCAUGCUUCUUGCAGCUACCCUGAGCCCUAACUGCACAACCCAGAUGAGUGUGUACCUGCCACUGAAAACCCCCACACCUGGCUCUGUCACUGGGCCUGUAGAGGAUACAUCACUUGUCAGGUGACAGUUUUUCUUGAAACUGACUUCUCCGAAUAUAAAAAUUAUAUGAAAUACUGUAGAAAAUAGGAUGAAGAGAAAAAAGAUUGAUCUCAGCAUUUCCGCCCGCAGGAGCAGAGCCUUAGUGUCCUUGCCUAUCCUGCAUGUGCGUCAACCUCGAGGCUGCAUGACCUGAGAGCUGUGGCUGCAAGUCGCGCCCGGUCACCAAAAGCACCAGGGGCCAGUGCAUACGAGCAGUCAGACCCAUCGGCAGCUCCUGCUUCAUGUACAUGGGCAGGAAGGCAGGCUCUGUUCAGGUGACACCAAGGAAGCACCAGGGGUCACCUCAGGGAAGGACAUUCCAAGAAGUAAGGUGAGCUGUGUUCUGGGGGGCAGCAGCAGGGUCCAGACUGCCAGGCAGCUAGGCAGCAGUGAAUGGCCUUCUCUAGUGUGGGAGGUUACCACCGGGACAGUCCUAACAAUACCCAUAACCCGCAUCAGGCUUCUGUGUAGCCCUCCUGGAGUAACCAAGAAGAAAACUCUGGAGGUGAGAGUGUGUAGCCAGUGCUGUGGCAAUGAUUCCCUUUCUCAAGAUAGCUGGCUCCAGGGGAGAUGCGGGCUAUCAGGUAGGAAGGCUUGUGAGGAACUGAGGCCUCUAGCCAACAGCCAACACCCCUGCCAUCUGAGCUGUUUAAACACCGAGUUCUAGGUAAGCAUCAAGAGAAGACCAAAUCACCAUGAGGACACAGGUGGAAGACGAGUGGGGAGGGCUGAGCAGAGCCUGGACAUCUGGCAGGUACGAGGGAGGGGAGGCCAGACUCCGCAGUGAGAAAGAGUGGAGACCAUUUGCUCAGGGUUCACCUAGGAAUCGGCAGAGGAGAAUCAAGGAGUCAAAGACUUUAGCCCUGUCAGCUGCCAUGCCUCGAGGAGACAUCUGAGAGAAACUGAACACCCAGGAUUAAAUAUGGGCUGCCAUCAGCGGCACAUGUGGACAGGUGGCUGUGCAGGGCUCAGAAGCAGCCUUGGGGUGGCAGGCUUACAGCUGUGUCCCUGUGUCACACUGUUACAUCAAUUGGCAAUUUCUCAUCCGGAUGCCUUUCUGUAACUCAAGAGAACUUUCUCUGUGUCCUAGGAUAGUUUCUAUCUCAGCAAUUCCGGGUUGCUUGGAUAGUAGAAGAGUUAAAAGAGAGGAAAUGUGGGUGCUGAAAUAAAUAUGGAUGAGAAAAGAAA